GCAAGUCGAACGGAAAGGCCCUGCUUGCAGGGUGCUCGAGUGGCGAACGGGUGAGUAACACGUGGGUGAACUGACCCUUACUUUGGGAUAAGCCUGGGAAACUGGGUCUAAUACUGGAUAGGACCAUGCUGUAGAUGGUGUGGUGGAAAGAUUUUUUCGGGAAGGGAUAAGCUCACGGCCUAUCAGCUUGUUGGUGGGGUAAUGGCCUACCAAGGCGUCGACGGGUAGCCGGCCUGAGAGGGUGGAC
This 247-nucleotide ribosomal RNA is filed under the name uncultured bacterium. RNAcentral describes it as "partial 16S ribosomal RNA". It matches the Rfam family "Bacterial small subunit ribosomal RNA", at positions 57 to 305 of the family's 1533-position model. The record is from RNAcentral.